This 386-nucleotide ribosomal RNA is filed under the name Staphylococcus aureus. Its description in RNAcentral is "partial 23S ribosomal RNA". It matches the Rfam family "Bacterial large subunit ribosomal RNA", at positions 2539 to 2925 of the family's 2925-position model. Lineage: Bacteria; Bacillati; Bacillota; Bacilli; Caryophanales; Staphylococcaceae. The record is from RNAcentral.
AUCGCAUCCUGGGGCUGUAGUCGGUCCCAAGGGUUGGGCUGUUCGCCCAUUAAAGCGGUACGCGAGCUGGGUUCAGAACGUCGUGAGACAGUUCGGUCCCUAUCCGUCGUGGGCGUAGGAAAUUUGAGAGGAGCUGUCCUUAGUACGAGAGGACCGGGAUGGACAUACCUCUGGUGUACCAGUUGUCGUGCCAACGGCAUAGCUGGGUAGCUAUGUGUGGACGGGAUAAGUGCUGAAAGCAUCUAAGCAUGAAGCCCCCCUCAAGAUGAGAUUUCCCAACUUCGGUUAUAAGAUCCCUCAAAGAUGAUGAGGUUAAUAGGUUCGAGGUGGAAGCAUGGUGACAUGUGGAGCUGACGAAUACUAAUCGAUCGAAGACUUAAUCAAAA